RNAcentral lists this ribosomal RNA (492 nucleotides) under uncultured bacterium. RNAcentral describes it as "partial 16S ribosomal RNA". It matches the Rfam family "Bacterial small subunit ribosomal RNA", at positions 29 to 507 of the family's 1533-position model. The record is from RNAcentral.
AGUGAACGCUGGCGGUAGGCCUAACACAUGCAAGUCGAACGGCAGCACAGUAAGAGCUUGCUCUUACGGGUGGCGAGUGGCGGACGGGUGAGGAAUACAUCGGAAUCUACUUUUUCGUGGGGGAUAACGUAGGGAAACUUACGCUAAUACCGCAUACGACCUACGGGUGAAAGCAGGGGAUCUUCGGACCUUGCGCGAUUGAAUGAGCCGAUGUCGGAUUAGCUAGUUGGCGGGGUAAAGGCCCACCAAGGCGACGAUUCGUAGCUGGUCUGAGAGGAUGAUCAGCCACACUGGAACUGAGACACGGUCCAGACUCCUACGGGAGGCAGCAGUGGGGAAUAUUGGACAAUGGGCGCAAGCCUGAUCCAGCCAUACCGCGUGGGUGAAGAAGGCCUUCGGGUUGUAAAGCCCUUUUGUGGGGAAAGAAAAGCAGCAGGUUAAUACCCCGCUGUUCUGACGGUACCCAAAGAAUAAGCACCGGCUAACUUCGUG